RNAcentral lists this transfer RNA (117 nucleotides) under Hypoxylon rubiginosum. RNAcentral's name for it is "tRNA-Pro". The record is from RNAcentral. Lineage: Eukaryota; Fungi; Ascomycota; Sordariomycetes; Xylariales; Hypoxylaceae.
GGUUUGGUGGUCUAGUGGUAUGAUUCUCGCUUAGGGUAACACCCGAAGCCAGCAGAUCAUCAAUACGAUGGUAUGCAUUCAUGCGAGAGGUCCCGGGUUCGAUCCCCGGCCAAACCC